UACAGAGGGUGCGAGCGUUAAUCGGAAUUACUGGCGUAAAGCGCACGCAGGCGGUCUCUUAAGUUUGGAGUGACAGUUGGUGGCUUAACUGCCAAAGUGCUUCGAAAACUGAGAGACUUGAGGGCUUCAGAGGGACACGGAAUCCGGGUGGAGUGGUGAAAUGCGUAGAGAUCCGGAGGAACACCAAAGGCGAAGGCAGUGUCCUGGGGAGUACCUGACGCUCAGGUGCGAAAGCCAGGGGAGCGAACGGG
RNAcentral lists this ribosomal RNA (251 nucleotides) under uncultured bacterium. RNAcentral describes it as "partial 16S ribosomal RNA". It matches the Rfam family "Bacterial small subunit ribosomal RNA", at positions 524 to 776 of the family's 1533-position model. The record is from RNAcentral.